Molecule: ribosomal RNA, 482 nt
Filed under: uncultured bacterium
Lineage: Bacteria
Description: partial 16S ribosomal RNA
Rfam family: Bacterial small subunit ribosomal RNA
Source: RNAcentral
AUUGAACGCUGGCGGCAUGCUUUACACAUGCAAGUCGAACGGUAACAGGCCGCAAGGUUCUGACGAGUGGCGAACGGGUGAGUAAUGCAGCGGAACGUGCCCAGUCGUGGGGGGUAACUACUCGCAAGAGUAGCUAAUACCGCAUACGAUCUAUGGAUGAAAGCGGGGGACCGUAAGGCCUCGCGCGAUUCGAGCGGCCGAUGUCAGAGUAGGUAGUUGGUGGGGUAAAGGCUCACCAAGCCAACGAUCUGUAGCUGGUCUGAGAGGACGACCAGCCACACUGGGACUGAGACACGGCCCAGACUCCUACGGGAGGCAGCAGUGGGGAAUUUUGGACAAUGGGCGCAAGCCUGAUCCAGCAAUGCCGCGUGCAGGAAGAAGGCCUUCGGGUUGUAAACUGCUUUUGUACGGAACGAAACGGCUCUGGUUAAUACCCGGGGCUAAUGACGGUACCGUAAGAAUAAGCACCGGCUAACUACGUG